This 353-nucleotide long non-coding RNA is filed under the name Mytilus galloprovincialis (Mediterranean mussel). Lineage: Eukaryota; Metazoa; Mollusca; Bivalvia; Mytilida; Mytilidae. The record is from RNAcentral.
AAAAAUAUAUAAAUUCAUUUCAAUUAAGUAAUGAAUUUGAUCGGGAAGAUAUCUUUUUUGUUAUUCUAUAUUAAUCGUAAAAAAAAUAGCUGCUGCAUCGUUACACUCGGCAGCGUCACGGGUACUCUCUUCACACGUGGCAAUGGAUUUAACAUGCCAUUCUAUUCAGACGUGGAUGCAUACCUGCACAUCAUUAGGACACCCCACGUCGGUAAUGGUUUUACUGUCGGCUGAUAGACAAUAUUUCUAUUUCCCAGUCACCCUUAGGGGGAAGGAGACAGACCAAAAUAAGUUCCAAACUAAAAGACAAAUUGAAAGAGUUUGUAUUGCUUUGUUUCAUAAAAAAGAAUGCC